GACGAACGCUGGCGGCGUGCUUAACACAUGCAAGUCGAACGGUGAUGCUCCAGCUUGCUGGAGUGGAUCAGUGGCGAACGGGUGAGUAACACGUGAGCAACCUGCCCCAGACUCUGGAAUAAGCGCUGGAAACGGCGUCUAAUACUGGAUACGAAACUGGCCCGCAUGGGCAUGGUUUGGAAAGUUUUUCGGUUUGGGAUGGGCUCGCGGCCUAUCAGCUUGUUGGUGAGGUAAUGGCUCACCAAGGCGACGACGGGUAGCCGGCCUGAGAGGGCGACCGGCCACCCUGGGACUGAGACACGGCCCAGACUCCUACGGGAGGCAGCAGUGGGGAAUAUUGCACAAUGGGCGCAAGCCUGAUGCAGCGACGCCGCGUGGGGGAUGACGGCCUUCGGGUUGUAAACCUCUUUCAGCAGGGAAGAAGCGAAAGUGACGGUACCUGCAGAAGAAGCACCGGCUAACUACGUG
RNAcentral lists this ribosomal RNA (468 nucleotides) under uncultured bacterium. RNAcentral describes it as "partial 16S ribosomal RNA". It matches the Rfam family "Bacterial small subunit ribosomal RNA", at positions 28 to 507 of the family's 1533-position model. The record is from RNAcentral.